This 1103-nucleotide ribosomal RNA is filed under the name Salmonella enterica subsp. enterica serovar Kentucky. RNAcentral's name for it is "partial 23S ribosomal RNA". It matches the Rfam family "Bacterial large subunit ribosomal RNA", at positions 1300 to 2388 of the family's 2925-position model. Lineage: Bacteria; Pseudomonadati; Pseudomonadota; Gammaproteobacteria; Enterobacterales; Enterobacteriaceae. The record is from RNAcentral.
ACAUAAGUAACGAUAAAGCGGGUGAAAAGCCCGCUCGCCGGAAGACCAAGGGUUCCUGUCCAACGUUAAUCGGGGCAGGGUGAGUCGACCCCUAAGGCGAGGCCGAAAGGCGUAGUCGAUGGGAAACGGGUUAAUAUUCCCGUACUUGGUGUUACUGCGAAGGGGGGACGGAGAAGGCUAUGUUGGCCGGGCGACGGUUGUCCCGGUUUAAGCGUGUAGGCUGGUUUUCCAGGCAAAUCCGGAAAAUCAAGGCUGAGGCGUGAUGACGAGGCACUACGGUGCUGAAGCAACAAAUGCCCUGCUUCCAGGAAAAGCCUCUAAGCAUCAGGUAACAUCAAAUCGUACCCCAAACCGACACAGGUGGUCAGGUAGAGAAUACCAAGGCGCUUGAGAGAACUCGGGUGAAGGAACUAGGCAAAAUGGUGCCGUAACUUCGGGAGAAGGCACGCUGACACGUAGGUGAAGUGAUUUACUCAUGGAGCUGAAGUCAGUCGAAGAUACCAGCUGGCUGCAACUGUUUAUUAAAAACACAGCACUGUGCAAACACGAAAGUGGACGUAUACGGUGUGACGCCUGCCCGGUGCCGGAAGGUUAAUUGAUGGGGUCAGCGCAAGCGAAGCUCCUGAUCGAAGCCCCGGUAAACGGCGGCCGUAACUAUAACGGUCCUAAGGUAGCGAAAUUCCUUGUCGGGUAAGUUCCGACCUGCACGAAUGGCGUAAUGAUGGCCAGGCUGUCUCCACCCGAGACUCAGUGAAAUUGAACUCGCUGUGAAGAUGCAGUGUACCCGCGGCAAGACGGAAAGACCCCGUGAACCUUUACUAUAGCUUGACACUGAACAUUGAGCCUUGAUGUGUAGGAUAGGUGGGAGGCUUUGAAGUGUGGACGCCAGUCUGCAUGGAGCCGACCUUGAAAUACCACCCUUUAAUGUUUGAUGUUCUAACGUGGACCCGUAAUCCGGGUUGCGGACAGUGUCUGGUGGGUAGUUUGACUGGGGCGGUCUCCUCCUAAAGAGUAACGGAGGAGCACGAAGGUUGGCUAAUCCUGGUCGGACAUCAGGAGGUUAGUGCAAUGGCAUAAGCCAGCUUGACUGCGAGCGUGACGGC